ACGGGUGAGUAACACGUGGGUAACCUGCCCAUCAGAGGGGGAUAACACUUGGAAACAGGUGCUAAUACCGCAUAAUUCAGUUUACCGCAUGGUAGAGUGAUGAAAGGCGCUUUUGCGUCACUGAUGGAUGGACCCGCGGUGCAUUAGCUAGUUGAUAGGGUAAUGGCCUACCAAGGCAACGAUGCAUAGCCGACCUGAAAGGGUGAUCGGCCACACUGGGACUGAGACACGGCCCAGACUCCUACGGGAGGCAGCAGUAGGGAAUUUUCGGCAAUGGACGAAAGUCUGACCGAGCAACGCCGCGUGAGUGAAGAAGGUUUUCGGAUCGUAAAACUCUGUUGUUAGAGAAGAACAAGGAUGAGAGUAAAAUGUUCAUCCCUUGACGGUAUCUAACCAGAAAGCCACGGCUAACUACGUGCCAGCAGCCGCGGUAAUACGUAGGUGGCAAGCGUUGUCCGGAUUUAUUGGGCGUAAAGCGAGCGCAGGCGGUUCUUUAAGUCUGAUGUGAAAGCCCCCGGCUCAACCGGGGAGGGUCAUUGGAAACUGGAGAACUUGAGUGCAGAAGAGGAGAG
RNAcentral lists this ribosomal RNA (572 nucleotides) under uncultured Enterococcus sp. RNAcentral's name for it is "bacterial SSU rRNA". It matches the Rfam family "Bacterial small subunit ribosomal RNA", at positions 102 to 661 of the family's 1533-position model. The record is from RNAcentral. Lineage: Bacteria; Bacillati; Bacillota; Bacilli; Lactobacillales; Enterococcaceae.